Molecule: ribosomal RNA, 484 nt
Filed under: uncultured bacterium
Lineage: Bacteria
Description: partial 16S ribosomal RNA
Rfam family: Bacterial small subunit ribosomal RNA
Source: RNAcentral
AUUGAACGCUGGCGGCAGGCCUAACACAUGCAAGUCGAGCGGGUGAAGGGAGCUUGCUCCUGGAUUCAGCGGCGGACGGGUGAGUAAUGCCUAGGAAUCUGCCUGGUAGUGGGGGAUAACGUCCGGAAACGGGCGCUAAUACCGCAUACGUCCUGAGGGAGAAAGUGGGGGAUCUUCGGACCUCACGCUAUCAGAUGAGCCUAGGUCGGAUUAGCUAGUUGGUGGGGUAAAGGCCUACCAAGGCGACGAUCCGUAACUGGUCUGAGAGGAUGAUCAGUCACACUGGAACUGAGACACGGUCCAGACUCCUACGGGAGGCAGCAGUGGGGAAUAUUGGACAAUGGGCGAAAGCCUGAUCCAGCCAUGCCGCGUGUGUGAAGAAGGUCUUCGGAUUGUAAAGCACUUUAAGUUGGGAGGAAGGGCAGUAAGUUAAUACCCUGCUGUUUUGACGUUACCAACAGAAUAAGCACCGGCUAACUUCGUG